CUACCGGGGUAUCUAAUCCUGUUUGCUCCCCACGCUUUCGCGCCUCAGCGUCAGUGUCCGUCCAGAUGGCCGCCUUCGCCACCGGUGUUCUUCCCAAUAUCUACGAAUUUCACCUCUACACUGGGAAUUCCACCAUCCUCUCCGGAACUCAAGCCUGCCAGUAUCGAAAGCAAUUCCCAGGUUGAGCCCGGGGCUUUCACUUCCGACUAAACAGGCCGCCUACGCGCCCUUUACGCCCAGUAAUUCCGAACAACGCUAGCCCCCUUCGUAUUACCGCGGCUGCUGGCAC
This 289-nucleotide ribosomal RNA is filed under the name uncultured Azospirillum sp. RNAcentral's name for it is "partial 16S ribosomal RNA". Lineage: Bacteria; Pseudomonadati; Pseudomonadota; Alphaproteobacteria; Rhodospirillales; Azospirillaceae. The record is from RNAcentral.